RNAcentral lists this ribosomal RNA (253 nucleotides) under uncultured bacterium. RNAcentral's name for it is "partial 16S ribosomal RNA". It matches the Rfam family "Bacterial small subunit ribosomal RNA", at positions 524 to 776 of the family's 1533-position model. The record is from RNAcentral.
GACAGAGGGGGCAAGCGUUGCUCGGAAUUACUGGGCGUAAAGGGCGCGUAGGCGGGAUGGCAAGUCGGAUGUGAAAUCCCUCGGCUCAACCGAGGACGUGCAUUCGAAACUGGCAGCUCGAGUAUGGAAGAGGGUCGCGGAAUUCCCGGUGUAGAGGUGAAAUUCGUAGAUAUCGGGAGGAACACCAGUGGCGAAGGCGGCGCCUGGGGCCAAUACUGACGCUGAGGUGCGAAAGCGUGGGGGAGCAAACAGG